GUAUAUUUCUUAUUUAAUAAGGUGUAAUCCUUCUGGAGCCACAAGAACUUUAAGCCAAGUCAAAAUGAAACACAAAAACAUUCUGCAAAAAGGUAAUAUUUGAUUACACAAUUACUGAACUAUUAUUAUAACAGGAUUUAGUAUAUUCAUUCUGUCAUGUAGCUAAUAGAAAGAAGACUGAAGCCCGUCUAACUGGCGGGGGCCCACCACCACCUCCCCUCACCCCAUCUGAGGAGCUGGCUCUGUCCCUUAAUAAAGGGCGACCAGUGGUUGCUGGCAUUCCAGGGGGCAGUUCAUCGCACACACCAUGCACCACAAGUGAUGGUGAAAAAAUGGUGAAAUGUAAGUUUACCUCUAUGAUUUGUUUUCAUUUUUUGUCCUAAUAAAUUACUAUCUCUGUCACUUAAAGGCUUUUUGAACAAGAUUAAUUUUUAUGUAGGCUUAUUUUAUUUAACUGCAUAUGAUGUAUAGGCUACUGUGAUCUUAGUCUGACAUGUUACUCUUUUCAUGUAUUAUUUUCUUUGAUAAUAUUGAGAAUUUAAUGGGUUGUGUGUUCUUAUAGAUACUGAUGGACGGAUUGUAUUAUUGGACCCUACAGAAAGAACACAGUCUGUCACAGUUGAUGAAGAUGAUGACGAUGAAGAGGCCACAUCUGCUGUGACAGAAGUGGACAAUGCUGGUAGAUCCACUGAGGAUCCUCAUCAAAAGGGCACGCCAUGCUCACCAACCUUCUGGAACGAAGUUACACUGAAACAUAACCUGCUCCCGAGCAGGUUAUCUUCAGAGAGUCAGUUGCUAUGGUUACAUACAUACCCAGAAAGUUACCUCCGUUUUUGGGACCGAAAGUUGAGGUUAUCCACGAACUUACCCUUAAACAUACCCAGGUAUGUCACAUAGCCUGCUUUCUGGAAUACCCC
Molecule: long non-coding RNA, 917 nt
Organism: Tachysurus vachellii
Lineage: Eukaryota; Metazoa; Chordata; Actinopteri; Siluriformes; Bagridae
Exons: 3
Source: RefSeq, a predicted model, not a curated record